RNAcentral lists this ribosomal RNA (1076 nucleotides) under Virgibacillus sp. SA5. RNAcentral's name for it is "bacterial SSU rRNA". It matches the Rfam family "Bacterial small subunit ribosomal RNA", at positions 306 to 1374 of the family's 1533-position model. The record is from RNAcentral. Lineage: Bacteria; Bacillati; Bacillota; Bacilli; Caryophanales; Bacillaceae.
GGCCACACUGGGACUGAGACACGGCCCAGACUCCUACGGGAGGCAGCAGUAGGGAAUCUUCCGCAAUGGACGAAAGUCUGACGGAGCAACGCCGCGUGAGUGAUGAAGGUUUUCGGAUCGUAAAACUCUGUUGUCAGGGAAGAACAAGUGCCGUUCAAAUAGGGCGGCACCUUGACGGUACCUGACCAGAAAGCCCCGGCUAACUACGUGCCAGCAGCCGCGGUAAUACGUAGGGGGCAAGCGUUGUCCGGAAUUAUUGGGCGUAAAGCGCGCGCAGGCGGUCCUUUAAGUCUGAUGUGAAAGCCCACGGCUUAACCGUGGAGGGCCAUUGGAAACUGGAGGACUUGAGUACAGAAGAGGAGAGUGGAAUUCCACGUGUAGCGGUGAAAUGCGUAGAGAUGUGGAGGAACACCAGUGGCGAAGGCGACUCUCUGGUCUGUAACUGACGCUGAGGUGCGAAAGCGUGGGGAGCGAACAGGAUUAGAUACCCUGGUAGUCCACGCCGUAAACGAUGAGUGCUAGGUGUUAGGGGGUUUCCGCCCCUUAGUGCUGAAGUUAACGCAUUAAGCACUCCGCCUGGGGAGUACGGCCGCAAGGCUGAAACUCAAAAGAAUUGACGGGGGCCCGCACAAGCGGUGGAGCAUGUGGUUUAAUUUGAAGCAACGCGAAGAACCUUACCAGAUCUUGACAUCCUCUGCCAAUCCUAGAGAUAGGAUGUUCCCUUCGGGGACAGAGUGACAGGUGGUGCAUGGUUGUCGUCAGCUCGUGUCGUGAGAUGUUGGGUUAAGUCCCGCAACGAGCGCAACCCUUGAUCUUAGUUGCCAGCAUUUAGUUGGGCACUCUAAGGUGACUGCCGGUGACAAACCGGAGGAAGGUGGGGAUGACGUCAAAUCAUCAUGCCCCUUAUGACCUGGGCUACACACGUGCUACAAUGGAUGGAACAAAGGGCAGCGAAGCCGCGAGGUCAAGCAAAUCCCAUAAAACCAUUCUCAGUUCGGAUUGCAGGCUGCAACUCGCCUGCAUGAAGCCGGAAUCGCUAGUAAUCGCGGAUCAGCAUGCCGCGGUGAAUACGUUCC